RNAcentral lists this ribosomal RNA (237 nucleotides) under Triticum aestivum (bread wheat). Its description in RNAcentral is "partial small subunit ribosomal RNA". The record is from RNAcentral. Lineage: Eukaryota; Viridiplantae; Streptophyta; Magnoliopsida; Poales; Poaceae.
AUGAACGUCGCGCUCAGGUUGAGAUGGGUCUGGCAGAUCCUACGCGGUGAGGGAGGCCUAUGGCUUCAGCUUCGGGCAAAAUACCUUCGAGGUGAGCCCCUCCUAGCAUGCUCUCGGACAGGAGGAAUGUUUUGGCGCUCCAUCCAAAGGAUCAAGGAGGGCAUCAGCCUAGGGAUUUCCUUCUCCAUAGGGAAUGGGGCGGGACCCAAUUCUGGCUGGACCCUGGUUGGGUACUAA